CCUACGGGAGGCAGCAGUGAGGAAUAUUGGUCAAUGGACGAGAGUCUGAACCAGCCAAGUCGCGUGAAGGAUGACUGCCCUAUGGGUUGUAAACUUCUUUUAUAUGGGAAUAAAAUGUUCCACGUGUGGGCUUUUGUAUGUACCAUAUGAAUAAGGAUCGGCUAACUCCGUGCCAGCAGCCGCGGUAAUACGGAGGAUCCGAGCGUUAUCCGGAUUUAUUGGGUUUAAAGGGAGCGUAGGUGGAUUGUUAAGUCAGUUGUGAAAGUUUGCGGCUCAACCGUAAAAUUGCAGUUGAAACUGGCAGUCUUGAGUACAGGAGAGGUGGGCGGAAUUCGCGGUGUAGCGGUGAAAUGCUUAGAUAUCACGAAGAACUCCGAUUGCGAAGGCAGCUCACUGGACUGCAACUGACACUGAUGCUCGAAAGUGUGGGUAUCAAACAGGAUUAGAUACCCCGGUAGUC
RNAcentral lists this ribosomal RNA (460 nucleotides) under uncultured bacterium. RNAcentral describes it as "partial 16S ribosomal RNA". It matches the Rfam family "Bacterial small subunit ribosomal RNA", at positions 338 to 795 of the family's 1533-position model. The record is from RNAcentral.